Molecule: microRNA precursor, 67 nt
Filed under: Vicugna pacos (alpaca)
Lineage: Eukaryota; Metazoa; Chordata; Mammalia; Artiodactyla; Camelidae
Description: miRNA (ENSVPAG00000017826.1)
Source: RNAcentral
CCUGGUUUGCCUGGGACUGAGGGGAUUUCCAGGGAUAUGGGAAUUUCAGUGCUAAAACCAAUCAGGU